UUGGAAGGAACCUCAAGAGGUCAUUGAGUUCAACCCCCCCUCAGCAACAGCAGAGAGCUCCAGCUCAGAGCAGGCAGCUUUGGAACUGGGCCAUCAAAACCAUACCCUGAAGCUUUUGCUCCAUUCAGUCCCCCAAAACACGCUGGGCGUGGAGAAUCACAGAAUUGCAUGGCUGGAAGGGACCUCAAGAGAUUGAGUCUAACCCCCCUGCUAAAACAACUACUAUUGUGGCAAGAAAAGAGGGGAAUAAGAACUUCAUUCAAGUAAAGAAAACUCUUUCCUCUGAUUUGAUAUUUAUCUCUUGCAAGGUUCCAUCCAAAUCCUAGCUGGGAUUCUUCUGCUUCUACAGGAGGCAUGAGAGGCUUUGAGAUCUUCAUGCUGGACUAUGAUGACUCCAAAUGAAAAGGAUGAUACAUAGAGACAACGGUUCCUGGAGGACAGAAAGCUGAGGUGGCAAAUAAAAGACAAAAAGAGAAUGUGAAAAAGAAGAGAAUGAUUCCCAAAAAGAAUGGAAGUAAAGAAGUGUUAUUUGUGUGCAAGAGGUGUCAUAAGAGUACUGCUGAGGGCUCUAAACAAAGCUUUGUUUCUUAUACUUUUCAAAAUGUGGCAUCAUACAUCAAAGUACAAAGGCAGUUCCACUGAAAGCCUUACAGAUGCUCAGAGAAGAUCAAGAUCGGUGCCUUCUGAAGAGAACUCGAUUUUUCCUCCAAAGAAAUCUAAUUCUAGAGAUAAAAGAAUGAAAUUCACAGACUUUGUGUCCCAGAACCAACAAAAGAAAUAAUCCCAAACUCUGAACACAUGGAAGACAAAAGGAAAUAAAUCUUGUUGGUAACAUAAUACA
This 841-nucleotide long non-coding RNA is filed under the name Phasianus colchicus (ring-necked pheasant). RNAcentral's name for it is "lncRNA (ENSPCLG00000003186.1)". Lineage: Eukaryota; Metazoa; Chordata; Aves; Galliformes; Phasianidae. The record is from RNAcentral.